UGGGGAAUAUUGGGCAAUGGGGGAAACCCUGACCCAGCGACGCCGCGUGAGGGAAGAAGGUCUUCGGAUUGUAAACCUUUGUUGCGAGGGAAGAAUAAAUGACGGUACCUCGCGAGGAAGCCACGGCAAACUACGUGCCAGCAGCCGCGGUAAUACGUAGGUGGCAAGCGUUAUCCGGAUUUACUGGGUGUAAAGGGUGAGUAGGCGGGGAGACAAGUCAUAUGUGAAAUCUCAUGGCUCAACCAUGAGACUGCAUAAGAAACUGUCUUUCUUGAGAGUGGGAGAGGUAAGCGGAAUUCCUGGUGUAGCGGUGAAAUGCGUAGAUAUCAGGAGGAACACCGGUGGCGAAGGCGGCUUACUGGACCACAACUGACGCUGAGACACGAAAGCGUGGGGAGCAAACA
This 404-nucleotide ribosomal RNA is filed under the name uncultured Eubacteriales bacterium. Its description in RNAcentral is "uncultured Clostridiales bacterium partial 16S ribosomal RNA". It matches the Rfam family "Bacterial small subunit ribosomal RNA", at positions 355 to 774 of the family's 1533-position model. The record is from RNAcentral. Lineage: Bacteria; Bacillati; Bacillota; Clostridia; Eubacteriales.